UACGGAGGGUGCAAGCGUUAUUCGGAUUUAUUGGGCGUAAAGCGCAGGUAGGCGGUUUACUAAGUCUGAUGUGAAAUCCCUGGGCUCAAUCCAGGAAGUGCAUUGGAUACUGGUAAACUAGAGUAUAGGAGAGGAGAAUGGAAUUCCUGGUGUAGAGGUGAAAUUCGUAGAUAUCAGGAGGAACAACGGUGGCGAAGGCGAUUCUCUGGACUAUUACUGACGCUGAUCUGCGAAAGCAUGGGGAGCAAACAGG
Molecule: ribosomal RNA, 253 nt
Filed under: uncultured bacterium
Lineage: Bacteria
Description: partial 16S ribosomal RNA
Rfam family: Bacterial small subunit ribosomal RNA
Source: RNAcentral